GAUGAACGCUGGCGGCGUGCCUAAUACAUGCAAGUCGAACGAACGGACGCGACGCUUGCUUUUUUGAUGUUAGCGGCGGACGUGUGAGUAACACGUGGAUAACCUCCUUAUCAGACUGGUAUAACUUCGGGAAACCGGAGCUAAUACCGGAUAAUAUUUUGAACCGCAUGGUUCAUAAGUGAAUGACGGUCUUUCUGUCACUUAUCGAUGGAUCCGCGCUGCAUUAGCUAGUUGGUAAGGUAACGGCUUACCACGGCAACGAUGCAUAGCCGACCUGAGAGGGGGGUCGGCCACAAGGGAACUGAGACAAGGUCAAGAAUACUACGGGAGGAGGCAGUAGGGAAUCUUACGCAAUGGGGGAAAACAUGACGGAGCAAGGCCGCGUGAGUGAUGAAGGUCUUCGGAGCGUAAAAAUCUGUUAUUAGGGAAGAACAGAUGUGGAAGUAACUGUGCACAGCUUGACGGUACCUAAUCAGAAAGCCACGGCUAACUACGUG
Molecule: ribosomal RNA, 497 nt
Filed under: uncultured bacterium
Lineage: Bacteria
Description: partial 16S ribosomal RNA
Rfam family: Bacterial small subunit ribosomal RNA
Source: RNAcentral